CAGCCGCGCGGUAAUACGAAGGGUGCAAGCGUUAAUCGGAAUUACGGGGCGUAAAGCGUGCGUAGGCGGUGAGUUAAGUCUGCUGUGAAAUCCCCGGGCUCAACCUGGGAAUGGCAGUGGAUACUGGCUCGCUAGAGUGUGUCAGAGGAUGGUGGAAUUCCCGGUGUAGCGGUGAAAUGCGUAGAGAUCGGGAGGAACAUCAGUGGCGAAGGCGGCCAUCUGGGACAACACUGACGCUGAGGCACGAAAGCGUGGGGAGCAAACAGGAUUAGAUACCCCAGUAGUCCCUGUCUCUUAUACA
This 301-nucleotide ribosomal RNA is filed under the name uncultured bacterium. RNAcentral's name for it is "partial 16S ribosomal RNA". It matches the Rfam family "Bacterial small subunit ribosomal RNA", at positions 509 to 808 of the family's 1533-position model. The record is from RNAcentral.